This 253-nucleotide ribosomal RNA is filed under the name uncultured bacterium. RNAcentral's name for it is "partial 16S ribosomal RNA". It matches the Rfam family "Bacterial small subunit ribosomal RNA", at positions 524 to 776 of the family's 1533-position model. The record is from RNAcentral.
UACAGAGGGUGCAACCGUUGUUCGGAAUUACUGGGCGUAAAGCGCGUGUAGGCUGCUUCGCAAGUCGGAUGUGAAAGCCCUGGGCUCAACCCAGGAAGUGCAUUCGAAACUGCAGAGCUGGAGUCCUGGAGAGGAAGGCGGAAUUCUCGGUGUAGAGGUGAAAUUCGUAGAUAUCGAGAGGAACACCGGUGGCGAAGGCGGCCUUCUGGACAGUGACUGACGCUGAGACGCGAAAGCGUGGGGAGCGAACAGG